AUUGAACGCUGGCGGCAUGCUUUACACAUGCAAGUCGAACGGUAACAGGCCUUCGGGUGCUGACGAGUGGCGAACGGGUGAGUAAUGCAUCGGAACGUACCCAGAGGUGGGGGAUAAAGCAGCGAAAGCUGUGCUAAUACCGCAUGUGAUCUGAGGAUGAAAGCGGGGGACCGAGCAGCAAUGUUUGGCCUCGCGCCUUUGGAGCGGCCGAUGUCGGAUUAGCUAGUUGGUGGGGUAAAGGCCUACCAAGGCGACGAUCCGUAGCUGGUCUGAGAGGACGACCAGCCACACUGGGACUGAGACACGGCCCAGACUCCUACGGGAGGCAGCAGUGGGGAAUUUUGGACAAUGGGCGCAAGCCUGAUCCAGCAAUGCCGCGUGCGGGAAGAAGGCCUUCGGGUUGUAAACCGCUUUUGGCAGGAACGAAACGGUGUCCGCUAAUACCGGGCGCUAAUGACGGUACCUGCAGAAUAAGCACCGGCUAACUACGU
This 491-nucleotide ribosomal RNA is filed under the name uncultured bacterium. Its description in RNAcentral is "partial 16S ribosomal RNA". It matches the Rfam family "Bacterial small subunit ribosomal RNA", at positions 29 to 506 of the family's 1533-position model. The record is from RNAcentral.